RNAcentral lists this small RNA (29 nucleotides) under Bombyx mori (domestic silkworm). RNAcentral's name for it is "ovarian small RNA-18765". Lineage: Eukaryota; Metazoa; Arthropoda; Insecta; Lepidoptera; Bombycidae. The record is from RNAcentral.
UAACCUCAAACUGUCAUAAUAAUGGUCCU